This 400-nucleotide ribosomal RNA is filed under the name Escherichia coli. RNAcentral describes it as "bacterial SSU rRNA". It matches the Rfam family "Bacterial small subunit ribosomal RNA", at positions 1 to 397 of the family's 1533-position model. The record is from RNAcentral. Lineage: Bacteria; Pseudomonadati; Pseudomonadota; Gammaproteobacteria; Enterobacterales; Enterobacteriaceae.
AAAUUGAAGAGUUUGAUCAUGGCUCAGAUUGAACGCUGGCGGCAGGCCUAACACAUGCAAGUCGAACGGUAACAGGAAGCAGCUUGCUGCUUCGCUGACGAGUGGCGGACGGGUGAGUAAUGUCUGGGAAACUGCCUGAUGGAGGGGGAUAACUACUGGAAACGGUAGCUAAUACCGCAUAACGUCGCAAGACCAAAGAGGGGGACCUUCGGACCUCUUGCCAUCGGAUGUGCCCAGAUGGGAUUAGCUAGUAGGUGGGGUAACGGCUCACCUAGGCGACGAUCCCUAGCUGGUCUGAGAGGAUGACCAGCCACACUGGAACUGAGACACGGUCCAGACUCCUACGGGAGGCAGCAGUGGGGAAUAUUGCACAAUGGGCGCAAGCCUGAUGCAGCCAUGC